CAACCCUUAAGCUUAGCUUAGUAUUGGGAAUCUGCUUAACCGCAGCUCCUUAAAUCUAGUUGGCAGAGCACAGCUGUACUCUGAGCGUAGUAAUUCAUUAUCUCGCUUUCUGAAGACAGUCGUACGAUCGCCACAAACCUAUUUAUUUUUAAUGG
Molecule: unclassified non-coding RNA, 155 nt
Filed under: uncultured Hyponectriaceae
Lineage: Eukaryota; Fungi; Ascomycota; Sordariomycetes; Xylariales
Description: sequence contains ITS2
Source: RNAcentral